GUUCUGAGCUGCUGGAUGGUCAAAUAAGUAGAGCUGCUGGGUCUAUUGGCAGUUUUUGAAAAUUAGAGAGCAAACAUUAGCAAUUCUUUUGGGUUCUGUGAAUCAUCCUAGGAGUUGCCUUUCUGACUGUUUUUGCUUUCUGUGUGUCAGGGUAAGGCUGGUGCCCCAGAUGCUUGCAUGUGUGGAGACUCCAAUUUACACUUGUUGCCUACCUCAUGCCCACUGUCCUUGGAGGACCUGACGUGCAAGGCCUUUCAGCUGUGGUGCUGUAUCCUGGGUAAUUCCAUUUUGCAUACCAAAAAAGAAGAAAAAGAGAGAGAGAGAGAGAGAGAGAGAGAGAACGAAGAAAGAAUAAUCUUGUGAGAGUGAAAAAUCUACAGAAAAAGACCCA
RNAcentral lists this long non-coding RNA (391 nucleotides) under Fukomys damarensis (Damara mole-rat). Its description in RNAcentral is "lncRNA (ENSFDAG00000025238.1)". Lineage: Eukaryota; Metazoa; Chordata; Mammalia; Rodentia; Bathyergidae. The record is from RNAcentral.